AGCCUCUGGAUUCCUUACCCAUCACAUCUAGACACUGGUUUGAGGAGGAAAAGUGAAACCAAAACGGACUUAAGUGCUUUGUGACACACAAGCUAGUUUCAAACAAAC
RNAcentral lists this small nucleolar RNA (108 nucleotides) under Echinops telfairi (small Madagascar hedgehog). RNAcentral describes it as "Small nucleolar RNA SNORA61 (ENSETEG00000025027.1)". The record is from RNAcentral. Lineage: Eukaryota; Metazoa; Chordata; Mammalia; Afrosoricida; Tenrecidae.